GUAAUCGUGAGAUUACAUCUGAAGAAAGCAGGACUACAAAUUCUGGUACUGACGAACAGGAACCUUAUAUGAGGCUAUUAGGUUGGAUAAGCAAGCACAUCAUUGUAAAGUCCAAAACAUGGAAAGUGAUAACCGAAAUAGUAGAUAAGGCAGGGAUCAGAAGAAAAAAGACGCUCUU
Molecule: non-coding RNA, 178 nt
Filed under: Maribacter orientalis
Lineage: Bacteria; Pseudomonadati; Bacteroidota; Flavobacteriia; Flavobacteriales; Flavobacteriaceae
Source: RNAcentral